GCUGGUCCAAUUAAUUGUGAACACAAGUUCACACAUGGAGUAUUUCCUCUGGUGUGCUGCAAAAAGAAGUAGUGUCGCUGAGUACUAUCAGCAAUGAUAAAUAUGGAAUCUGAUCCACCUGACCUUUGCCAAAGCAUUCCAGUAAAGACAGAAUGUCCAUCAACAGGACCACUGGACUUGGAAAGAAGGGAGGCUGAUGGUUGAAAAAGCUAGAAGGUCUCUCUUGGAAAAGGAUUGAUCCCAAGAUGGAAAAAUAGCCAUUAAUUACAUAGGUGAGAUGACACAGAAGGAACUGACCAGUCAUUCAGCAAACGUCUGUGUGUGUUUUGGGGGGCGGGGGAAAAUCAGUCGGUGAGAGCAAGUUCUCAAUGGUAGAUGAAAGGAAUGAGCAGCUCCUACUCUAGGGCCAAAAAAUCGGAAUGAUUCCUGGGGUUAACAAAAGGAAGAGGCAGAAAUGGGUCAGAGCAGAUUCCCCUUACGGGAGGAGGCGGCACACCUGGGCUCCCCCCAACUAUCGGGGUUUAGGCUGGCGGUUUUGGGCUCCCAAACCAGUUCCCGGAGAAUCAUCCGGGAUCUCUCCGUGACCGCCACCGGGAACAUUGGGCGAGUUUGCCGGCCUGUGCGACCCCCGCUCUGGCUGCCACCGCCUCGGCACCUCCAGGGCCGCCCUCCAGCUGCCUCUCUUGAUAGAGAGCCCACAGUCCAACGUUGGGCAGGAAGACGAGGGCCGUCAGCCCCAACCCACAGCCUGCAGGAGCCGCUUCUCCUUCCGCUUCAUCGGGGCCGGUCCCCCUGGAGCGCGCCCGCCCUGGCCCCGGGCACCAACUCCGCGGCGCCCGUAGUAGCGGUAGCGGCGACAGCAAGCAGCGGCCGGGAGACACGGCCCCGGAGCCGGCCCCAGUCCAACUCCCCGACACUUCCGCUCCGCCGAGAGAGGAGGGGAGUCGGGCGCUACCACCACACCCCCACCUCGGGGGGAGGGGAUGAAGACCCACCACCCACAUCCUUCAUUCCCUCCUUCUCGCUAGAUUACACCAGCUUUAUCGCCCCCCCCCCCCAUCAAAAAGACUUUUCUGGACUCCAGGUCAACCCUAAUCCUCGCCUCAAGUACGACUGGCCUCAGCUGGCCUUGGCUCUGAGAAGGGGGUGAGUUCGUGCUCCCCCUCGCCGGUCCCCAAAUGGUCUCACCCGCCCGCUGGCUUAGGUAAAGUCCAGGAGUUGCCUGAAGGGAGGACUAACUGGUCGGAAAGCUAACUGGUUGCGAAGGGUGCGGAGAGGUGACUGGCACCGCAAGCUAGUGUAGUACUGAGGACGUGGCGAGGCGGGAGGGGCACGCCGCUACCCUAAAGGAAAGUCCGUUAAUUAGCCACUGGAUAAGCUGGUCCACCUGGAAGAGACCACUCCCAGGAGUGUGAGGGGCCAAAAUCUCCCGGCCCGAAAAGUCCUAGAAGCCCAGGAAGGGGCUGGAGGUCUGUGUGGUUCGGUUGGAUUCGGCGCACGUUCUAUUUCUAUUCUAAUUUCUAUUCUAGUGAAUAGAAAUUCUUAGCGGGUUUGGCUUCCCUGCCCUCGAGGAGCCCUGGAGCUGUAGCCCGCAGGCGCCCCCUGCUGCCAAAGCGGGUGGUAGGUGCCCGAAAGGCGCCACUUUCGAUUCGGGGAAAUACGGCGGAGGUCAGUCCGAGCUCUAGGAAGGACAGAGGAGGAGAGAAAAAGAUGCGGAAGGACCUUGGUCAGAGCCUCAAAUUAUGGGCGGGGGACAGGCUGAGCUCCGCGGGGAAGGCAUAGUCUCCAGUACGCAUUGUACUCCAUUAACCCCCGAUGGAGAUAAACGGGAAUAAAUAGGUUUCUAUAAGAAUCA
Molecule: long non-coding RNA, 1855 nt
Organism: Monodelphis domestica (gray short-tailed opossum)
Lineage: Eukaryota; Metazoa; Chordata; Mammalia; Didelphimorphia; Didelphidae
Source: Ensembl